UACGGGGGGAGCAAGCGUUGUUCGGAUUUACUGGGCGUAAAGGGCGCGUAGGCGGCCACCGCAAGUCAAUUGUGAAAUCUCCGGGCUUAACUCGGAAAGGUCAACUGAUACUGCGGGGCUAGAGUGCGGAAGGGGCAACUGGAAUUCUCGGUGUAGCGGUGAAAUGCGUAGAUAUCGAGAGGAACACCUAUGGCGAAGGCAGCUCGCUGGGACGUUACUGACGCUGAGACGCGAAAGCGUGGGGAGCAAACAGG
This 254-nucleotide ribosomal RNA is filed under the name uncultured bacterium. RNAcentral's name for it is "partial 16S ribosomal RNA". It matches the Rfam family "Bacterial small subunit ribosomal RNA", at positions 524 to 776 of the family's 1533-position model. The record is from RNAcentral.